AUAACGUGAUUAAGUUAUUAAGGGCGCACGGUGGAUGCCUUGGCACUAGAAGCCGAUGAAGGACGUUACUAACGACGAUAUGCUUUGGGUAGCUGUAAGUAAGCGUUGAUCCAGAGAUUUCCGAAUGGGGGAACCCAGCACAAGUUAUGUUGUGUUAUCGACAUGUGAAUACAUAGCAUGUCCGAAGGCAGACGCGGAGAACUGAAACAUCUUAGUACCCGCAGGAAGAGAAAGAAAAAUCGAUUCCCUGAGUAGCGGCGAGCGAAACGGGAAGAGCCCAAACCAAUGAGCUUGCUCAUUGGGGUUGUAGGACACUCUAUACGGAGUUACAAAGGAAUAAAUUAGACGAAUCACCUGGAAAGUUGAACCAGAGAAGGUAAAAGUCCUGUAGUCGAAAGUUUAUUCUCUCUUGAGUGGAUCCUGAGUACGACGGAGCACGUGGAAUUCCGUCGGAAUCCGGGAGGACCAUCUCCCAAGGCUAAAUACUCUCUAGUGACCGAUAGUGAACCAGU
This 512-nucleotide ribosomal RNA is filed under the name Staphylococcus sp. HMSC061G12. Its description in RNAcentral is "bacterial LSU rRNA". It matches the Rfam family "Bacterial large subunit ribosomal RNA", at positions 1 to 499 of the family's 2925-position model. The record is from RNAcentral. Lineage: Bacteria; Bacillati; Bacillota; Bacilli; Caryophanales; Staphylococcaceae.